Dermochelys coriacea (leatherback sea turtle) is the source of this 237-nucleotide long non-coding RNA. RefSeq lists it as uncharacterized. The record is from RefSeq and is a predicted model, not a curated record. The transcript has 2 exons. NCBI's taxonomy places the organism in Eukaryota, Metazoa, Chordata, Testudines, Dermochelyidae.
GUCCCCCUCCGAACGCAACGAACGUUCCGGUCCAAUCCCAACGGAAAACGUAGCCGGUUUAAACUGUCUGAGGCCAAGCGGGGUGAGGAGGGUCGCGUUGCAACUGCGAGGAGGGACCAGGCCUCAAAGACCAGAAUGAACCAGGAUGGUCAAGUGUUGGGGCAUGAGCAUCGCAGGAUCCCGGGUCCAGCUGGAGCGUGGCAAUUUUUGGCCUUGAGCUUCCACACCGGAUUAGCU